RNAcentral lists this ribosomal RNA (254 nucleotides) under Escherichia coli. RNAcentral's name for it is "partial 16S ribosomal RNA". It matches the Rfam family "Bacterial small subunit ribosomal RNA", at positions 1 to 251 of the family's 1533-position model. RNAcentral also lists the same sequence under 1 other name. The record is from RNAcentral. Lineage: Bacteria; Pseudomonadati; Pseudomonadota; Gammaproteobacteria; Enterobacterales; Enterobacteriaceae.
AAAUUGAAGAGUUUGAUCAUGGCUCAGAUUGAACGCUGGCGGCAGGCCUAACACAUGCAAGUCGAACGGUAACAGGAAUCAGCUUGCUGAUUCGCUGACGAGUGGCGGACGGGUGAGUAAUGUCUGGGAAACUGCCUGAUGGAGGGGGAUAACUACUGGAAACGGUAGCUAAUACCGCAUAAUGUCGCAAGACCAAAGAGGGGGACCUUCGGGCCUCUUGCCAUCGGAUGUGCCCAGAUGGGAUUAGCUUGUUG